Molecule: non-coding RNA, 393 nt
Organism: Phyllostomus hastatus (greater spear-nosed bat)
Lineage: Eukaryota; Metazoa; Chordata; Mammalia; Chiroptera; Phyllostomidae
Source: the annotation of a RefSeq genome assembly
AGGCCUUGUCCUGUGAGUCUCCCCACCAUGGCCUGGACAUUGCUCCUGCUCGGGGUCCUUGCUUACAGCUCAGGUGUGGAUUCUCAGACUGUGGUCACCCAGGAGCCAUCACUGUCUGUGUCUCCAGGAGGGACAGUCACACUCACCUGUGGCCUUAGCUCUGGGUCAGUCUCUAGUGAUAACUACCCUAAAUGGUUCCAGCAGACCCCAGGCAAGGUGCCCCGCACGCUCAUCUACCACACAAAUACCCGGCCGUCUGAGGUCCCUGACCGCUUCUCUGGAUCCAUCUCUUGGAACAAAGCCACCCUCACCAUCACAGGGAUCCAGCCUGAAGAUGAGGCUGACUAUUACUGCGCUCUGGCCAUGGGUAGUGGCACUCACACAGUGAUGUGA